AUUGAACGCUGGCGGAAUGCUUUACACAUGCAAGUCGAACGGCAGCACGGGGGCAACCCUGGUGGCGAGUGGCGAACGGGUGAGUAAUACAUCGGAACGUGCCCAGUCGUGGGGGAUAACGUAGCGAAAGUUACGCUAAUACCGCAUACGAUCUACGGAUGAAAGCGGGGGACCGUAAGGCCUCGCGCGAUUGGAGCGGCCGAUGUCAGAUUAGGUAGUUGGUGAGGUAAAGGCUCACCAAGCCGACGAUCUGUAGCUGGUCUGAGAGGACGACCAGCCACACUGGGACUGCGACACGGCCCAGACUCCUACGGGAGGCAGCAGUGGGGAAUUUUGGACAAUGGGCGCAAGCCUGAUCCAGCCAUUCCGCGUGCAGGACGAAGGCCUUCGGGUUGUAAACUGCCUUUGUACGGAACGAAAAGGCUCUGGUUAAUACCUGGGGCUCAUGACGGUACCGUAAGAAUAAGCACCGGCUAACUACGUGCCAGCAGCCGCGGUAA
This 500-nucleotide ribosomal RNA is filed under the name uncultured bacterium. Its description in RNAcentral is "partial 16S ribosomal RNA". It matches the Rfam family "Bacterial small subunit ribosomal RNA", at positions 30 to 523 of the family's 1533-position model. The record is from RNAcentral.